Molecule: ribosomal RNA, 258 nt
Filed under: uncultured bacterium
Lineage: Bacteria
Description: partial 16S ribosomal RNA
Rfam family: Archaeal small subunit ribosomal RNA
Source: RNAcentral
GUCCUAGCCGUAACGCUGCAAGCCAGAUGUUUCAUAAUCCUCGUGAUUAUGAAGUGUCGAAACGAAGGUGUUAAGCUUGCCACCUGGGAGUACGGUCGCAAGGCUGAAACUUAAAGGAAUUGGCGGGGAGCACUACAAGGGGUGCGGCGUGCGGUUUAAUCGAAUUCAACGCCGAAAACCUCACCAGUGGCGACGGCAGGAUGAAGAUCAGUCUAAAGGGCUUAUCUGACGAGCCGAGAGGUGGUGCAUGGCCGCCGU